AACGAACGCUGGCGGCAUGCCUAACACAUGCAAGUCGAACGGUGCUUCCGUGCGUAGUGGCUCACAGGGGCGUCGCGCGUGGGAAUGUGGCCUAGGAUACCGAAUCACAGUGAUAAGUUGCUGCUAAUGUCGGAUGAUGUCUGCGGACACCAGAUUCGUCGCCCGGGGGUGAGCACGCGUAGGCUUAGCUAGUGGGGGGGGUAAUGGCCUACGAAGGCUUGGAUACUUAGCGGGUCUGAGAGCCUGAGCAGCCACACUGGGUCUGAGACCCGGCCCAGACUCCUACGGGAGGCAGCAGUGGGGAAUAUUGGACAAUGGGGGCAAGCCUGAUCCAGCAAUGCCGCGUGAGUGAUGAAGGCCUUAGGGUUGUAAAGCUCUUUUACCCGGGAUGAUAAUGACAGUACCGGGAGAAUAAGCUCCGGCUAACUCCGUG
This 433-nucleotide ribosomal RNA is filed under the name uncultured bacterium. RNAcentral's name for it is "partial 16S ribosomal RNA". It matches the Rfam family "Bacterial small subunit ribosomal RNA", at positions 29 to 507 of the family's 1533-position model. The record is from RNAcentral.